AUAUCAAACUUAGUGGCGCACGGGUGCGUAACGCGUAUGCAACCUACCUUCAACUGGGGAAUAGCCCCUCGAAAGAGGGAUUAAUACCCCAUAGUAAUUAGAUAAGGCAUCUUAUUUAGUUUAAAGUUCCGGCGGUUGAAGAUGGGCAUGCGUGACAUUAGCUAGUUGGUGAGGUAAUGGCUCACCAAGGCUACGAUGUCUAGGGGUUCUGAGAGGAUGAUCCCCCACACUGGUACUGAGACACGGACCAGACUCCUACGGGAGGCAGCAGUAAGGAAUAUUGGUCAAUGGACGCAAGUCUGAACCAGCCAUGCCGCGUGAAGGAUGACGGCCCUAUGGGUUGUAAACUUCUUUUGUACGGGAAUAAACCCUUCUACGUGUAGAAGGCUGAAUGUACCGUAAGAAUAAGGAUCGGCUAACUCCGUGCCAGCAGCCGCGGUAAUACGGAGGAUCCAAGCGUUAUCCGGAUUCAUUGGGUUUAAAGGGUGCGUAGGCGGAUUUGUAAGUCAGUGGUGAAAGCCUGCAGCUCAACUGCAGAACUGCCAUUGAUACUGCAAGUCUUGAGUACACUUGACGUGGGCGGAAUGUGUCAUGUAGCGGUGAA
Molecule: ribosomal RNA, 604 nt
Filed under: uncultured Bacteroidota bacterium
Lineage: Bacteria; Pseudomonadati; Bacteroidota
Description: bacterial SSU rRNA
Rfam family: Bacterial small subunit ribosomal RNA
Source: RNAcentral